Molecule: ribosomal RNA, 404 nt
Filed under: Verrucomicrobiota bacterium
Lineage: Bacteria; Pseudomonadati; Verrucomicrobiota
Description: Verrucomicrobia bacterium partial 16S ribosomal RNA
Rfam family: Bacterial small subunit ribosomal RNA
Source: RNAcentral
UGGGGAAUAUUGCACAAUGGGCGCAAGCCUGAUGCAGCAACGCCGCGUGAACGAUGAAGGUCUUCGGAUCGUAAAGUUCUGUUGCAGGGGAAGAUAAUGACGGUACCCUGUGAGGAAGCCCCGGCUAACUUCGUGCCAGCAGCCGCGGUAAUACGAAGGGGGCUAGCGUUGUUCGGAUUUACUGGGCGUAAAGCGCACGUAGGCGGACUUUUAAGUCAGGGGUGAAAUCCCGGGGCUCAACCCCGGAACUGCCUUUGAUACUGGAAGUCUGGAGGAUGGUAGAGGUGAGUGGAAUUCCGAGUGUAGAGGUGAAAUUCGGAGAUAUUCGGAGGAAAACCAGUGGCGAAGGCGGCUCACUGGACCAUUACUGACGCUGAGGUGCGAAAGCGUGGGGAGCAAACAGG